Molecule: long non-coding RNA, 249 nt
Filed under: Mytilus galloprovincialis (Mediterranean mussel)
Lineage: Eukaryota; Metazoa; Mollusca; Bivalvia; Mytilida; Mytilidae
Source: RNAcentral
GUGUGGCUGUGGCCAUUGAUUGACACAUUAAAUUCAUCCAUUGACUGGGACAAUUUACGUGAACGUUUGUCUGUAACGACCACUGUUCACGACGUACCUACGAUAGACAUUUAAACUGUGGGGUCACCAAAGGUUUCUUAACGCCUUUAAUUAUAAAAUAAUUCGACAAAUUAAUCAGGAAUAACCUUUAUGUGUUGAUUUAUAUAAUUGAUAUAAAUCAAAACAUCGUGUUAUUUCUGAAUAUUUUUC